CCCUUAGAUGUUCUGGGCCGCACGCGCGCUACACUGGUGCAUUCAACGAGCCUAUCCUUGACCGACAGGUCCGGGUAAUCUUUGAAUCUGCAUCGUGACGGGGAUAGAUUAUUGCAAUUAUUAAUCUUCAACGAGGAAUGCCUAGUAGGCGCAAGUCAUCAGCUUGCGUCGAUUACGUCCCUGCCCUUUGUACACACCGCCCGUCGCUCCUACCGAUUGAAUGCUCAGGUGAGCCAUUCGGACUUUCAUCAUGCUGGUUUCCAGUUUUGAUGAAGGAAAGUCUUGCGAACCUUAUCAUUUAGAGGAAGGAGAAGUCGUAACA
Molecule: ribosomal RNA, 322 nt
Filed under: uncultured eukaryote
Lineage: Eukaryota
Description: partial 18S ribosomal RNA
Rfam family: Eukaryotic small subunit ribosomal RNA
Source: RNAcentral